GCCUUUAUGGCUCAGUGGUAGAGCGCCAGUCUAGUAAACUGGAGGUCCGCAGUUCGAUCCUGCGUGGAGGCA
This 72-nucleotide transfer RNA is filed under the name Adineta vaga. RNAcentral describes it as "tRNA-Thr for anticodon AGU". It matches the Rfam family "tRNA". Rfam says of the family: Transfer RNA (tRNA) molecules are approximately 80 nucleotides in length. Their secondary structure includes four short double-helical elements and three loops (D, anti-codon, and T loops). Further hydrogen bonds mediate the characteristic L-shaped molecular structure. tRNAs have two regions of fundamental functional importance: the anti-codon, which is responsible for specific mRNA codon recognition, and the 3' end, to which the tRNAs corresponding amino acid is attached (by aminoacyl-tRNA synthetases). tRNAs cope with the degeneracy of the genetic code in two manners: having more than one tRNA (with a specific anti-codon) for a particular amino acid; and 'wobble' base-pairing, i.e. permitting non-standard base-pairing at the 3rd anti-codon position. The record is from RNAcentral. RNAcentral also lists the same sequence under 1 other name. Lineage: Eukaryota; Metazoa; Rotifera; Eurotatoria; Adinetida; Adinetidae.